GAUGAACGCUGGCGGCGUGCUUACCACAUGCAAGUCGAACGGGAAUCCUUCUCUGAUGCCUUUUCGGUAUUUUCUUGGUUCCUUCUGGGGGCGGACGGGUGAGUACCGGGGGGACAACCUGCCUUGAGGGGGGGAACAACAGUAGAAGACGACUGCUACUCCCGAAUAGCCCCACGCUUCCGGGUGAAGCGUGGAAAAAACCUCCGGUGGAGCAGGAUGCCCCCUCGUCUGAUUAAAUAGUUGGGGAGGCAACCCCCCACCAAAUCAACAAUCAGCCGCCGGCCUGGGAGGACGAGCGGCCUCGUUGGGACUGAACCCCCCCCCCUCCUCCUGCGGGAGGCAGCGGGGAGUAUUAUUGAACGGGGGAAAAACCCCUGAUGCACCGCCGCCGGGUGAAUGAAGAAUUUUUUCGUUAUGUAAUCUUCUAUCAGGAGGGAAAAAAACGAUGACGCCUCCUGACUAAGACCCC
This 469-nucleotide ribosomal RNA is filed under the name uncultured bacterium. RNAcentral describes it as "partial 16S ribosomal RNA". It matches the Rfam family "Bacterial small subunit ribosomal RNA", at positions 28 to 495 of the family's 1533-position model. The record is from RNAcentral.